UACGGAAGGUCCGGGCGUUAUCCGGAUUUAUUGGGUUUAAAGGGAGCGUAGGCCGUGGAUUAAGCGUGUUGUGAAAUGUAGACGCUCAACGUCUGACUUGCAGCGCGAACUGGUCCACUUGAGUGUGCGCAACGCAGGCGGAAUUCGUCGUGUAGCGGUGAAAUGCUUAGAUAUGACGAAGAACCCCGAUUGCGAAGGCAGCUUGCGGGAGCACGACUGACGCUGAAGCUCGAAAGUGCGGGUAUCGAACAGG
This 253-nucleotide ribosomal RNA is filed under the name uncultured bacterium. Its description in RNAcentral is "partial 16S ribosomal RNA". It matches the Rfam family "Bacterial small subunit ribosomal RNA", at positions 524 to 776 of the family's 1533-position model. The record is from RNAcentral.